ACGACCUUACUUGAACAUGAUCUGUUCUAUAGGCUCGUACCACUGUAUCCUUGAUUUUUAAGGAGACAAGAAACCAAGUCUGGUUGAUGAAGCAUGGCCAUUUGACCAGAGCGUGAUUAACAGCCUACCAUGGCUCCUCGAGCUGUGGUGCAGUAGAUGAUCGUUCUUGGACCUGAUUUCAGGCCUAGGAUGGUCCCAUGGCUGUCUGACAGACU
Molecule: small nucleolar RNA, 215 nt
Filed under: Solanum tuberosum (potato)
Lineage: Eukaryota; Viridiplantae; Streptophyta; Magnoliopsida; Solanales; Solanaceae
Description: snoRNA Plant_U3
Rfam family: Plant small nucleolar RNA U3
About the family: Small nucleolar RNAs (snoRNAs) are involved in the processing and modification of rRNA in the nucleolus. There are two main classes of snoRNAs: the box C/D class, and the box H/ACA class. U3 snoRNA is a member of the box C/D class.
Source: Rfam by way of RNAcentral